Molecule: ribosomal RNA, 492 nt
Filed under: uncultured bacterium
Lineage: Bacteria
Description: partial 16S ribosomal RNA
Rfam family: Bacterial small subunit ribosomal RNA
Source: RNAcentral
AGUGAACGCUGGCGGCAGGCCUAAUACAUGCAAGUCGAACGGCAGCACAGUAAGAGCUUGCUCUUACGGGUGGCGAGUGGCGGACGGGUGAGGAAUAGAUCGGAAUCUACUUUUUCGUGGGGGACAACGUAGGGAAACAUACGCUACUACCGCAUACGACCUACGGGAGGAAGCAGGGGAUCUUCGGACCUUGCGCGAAUGAAUGAGUCGAUGUCGGAUUAGCUAGUUGGUGGGGUAAAGGCCCACCAAGGCGACGAUCCGUAGCUGGUCUGAGAGGAUGAUCGGCCACACUGGAACUGAGACACGGUCCAGACUCCUACGGGAGGCAGCAGUGGGGAAUAUUGGACAAUGGGCGCAAGCCUGAUCCAGCCAUACCGCGUGGGUGAAGAAGGCCUUCGGGUUGUAAAGCCCUUUUGUUGGGAAAGAAAAGCAGCAGGUUAAUACCCCGCUGUUCUGACGGUACCCAAAGAGUAAGCACCGGCUAACUUCGUG